CCUACGGGAGGCAGCAGUAGGGAAUAUUGCUCAAUGGGGGAAACCCUGAAGCAGCAACGCCGCGUGGAGGAUGAAGGUUUUCGGAUUGUAAACUCCUUUUGUUAGAGAAGAUAAUGACGGUAUCUAACGAAUAAGCACCGGCUAACUCCGUGCCAGCAGCCGCGGUAAUACGGAGGGUGCAAGCGUUACUCGGAAUGACGGGGAGUAAGGGGCGCGUAGGCGGGAUAGAAAGUAAGAUGUGAAAUCCUAGGGCUUAACCAUAGAACUGCAUUUGAAACUGGUAUUCUAGAGUAUGGGAGGGGUAGGUGGAAUUCUUGGUGUAGCGGUAAAAUCCGUAGAGAUCAGGAGGAAUACUCAUUGCGAAGGCGACCUGCUAGAACAUAACUGACGCUGAUGCGCGAAAGCGUGGGGAGCAAACAGGAUUAGAUACCCCUGUAGUC
Molecule: ribosomal RNA, 440 nt
Filed under: uncultured bacterium
Lineage: Bacteria
Description: partial 16S ribosomal RNA
Rfam family: Bacterial small subunit ribosomal RNA
Source: RNAcentral